This is a long non-coding RNA of Hibiscus syriacus, 274 nucleotides long. RefSeq lists it as uncharacterized. The record is from RefSeq and is a predicted model, not a curated record. NCBI's taxonomy places the organism in Eukaryota, Viridiplantae, Streptophyta, Magnoliopsida, Malvales, Malvaceae. The transcript has 2 exons.
CAACUAAAAGUAAAUGAAAAACAUCAUUCCUACUUGAGUUCAUAACCCGGCUUUAAUAAUCUAGGUCAAACAGACCAUAUCAAUUUAAGAACUUGCAGUGACUAUGAAAGCUAAGUAAACCAAAUUACAACUCAACAAACCAUAAAAAUUGAAUCUUCAGGUGUUUUAUUACUAUGUCCACCAAGUACCAACCCUCAAGCAAGGCAGAGAAUUUGGGUAGGUAAAGUUACCAUAAAUGCAAAAUAACAUAGGUAAUCAUUUCAGUCCAUCGGCA